GACGAACGCUGGCGGCGUGCUUAACACAUGCAAGUCGAACGGUGAAGCGCCUUCCUUUUUGGUGGGUGUGGAUGAGUGGCGAACGGGUGAGUAACACGUGAGUAACCUGCCCCCUUCUUCUGGAUAACCGCAUGAAAGUGUGGCUAAUACGGGAUAUUCUGGGUCUGUCGCAUGAUGGGUUUGGGAAAGUUAUUGUUUCGGUGGGGGAUGGGCUCGCGGCCUAUCAGGUUGUUGGCGGGGUGGUGGCAUACCAAGGCGGUGACGGGUACCCGGCCUGGGGGGGAGGCCGGGCACGCUGGGACGGAUGAACAGCCCAGAUGGGAACGAGAGGCAGCCGUGAGGAAUACGGGACGAUGGGCGGAGGCAUGAUGCAGCGAGGCCGCGAGAGUGAUGGAGGCCUGCGGGGUGAGUGCCUCAGGCGCUAGGGAAGCAGACCUGCUUCGUUUGUGAGGAGAAUGACGGUACCGGGAGAAGAAGCGCCGGCUAACUACGUG
This 494-nucleotide ribosomal RNA is filed under the name uncultured bacterium. RNAcentral's name for it is "partial 16S ribosomal RNA". It matches the Rfam family "Bacterial small subunit ribosomal RNA", at positions 28 to 507 of the family's 1533-position model. The record is from RNAcentral.